RNAcentral lists this long non-coding RNA (1088 nucleotides) under Bos indicus x Bos taurus (hybrid cattle). RNAcentral's name for it is "lncRNA (ENSBIXG00000012144.1)". The record is from RNAcentral. Lineage: Eukaryota; Metazoa; Chordata; Mammalia; Artiodactyla; Bovidae.
CGUCUCCUCCACGAUUCUCAGCUCGGCGGCUGCCAUCUUCCCCGUGGACAUCACUGCAGGCCCAUCACCGUCUGGCACAGUCUCUCCUGCCAUGUCUGCCACAGAGGAGCACGACUGGAUGCCAGGUGGCCUGGACAGGGCUGUUGGCAGGGCGGGCUGUGACCCCAGUCCCUUGGGGUCCCGGCACCGGCUUGGGAGGGGACGGAUGGGGUCGAGGAGGCCGCGGCCCUUCUGCCCUCCCUGAGGGUGUCAGGAGGCCUUCGCAGGGGGCACGGUGGGCCACAGGCCACAAUGGAAGAGUGGGCUAUAGAGCCGUUAGAGGAGGAGGAGGAGUCUGAUUUCGAGCUGGAGGCCCUGGAGGAGGAGGAGCACCUGGAGGAGGAGGAGCACCUGUUGGAAGAGAUCGAGGAGGAGGAGACAGUAGAGAAUGAUGAGAGUGAGCAGGAAGGCGCAGCAGUGGUUGCAGGCCACAGGGACCCCUUGGAGCAGUUUGGGCCUGUGUUCUGGGGUCUGGUCCACUCCCUUCUACACAGUUUCUCCUACGAUGACCAUGUCCUGGUCUGGCCCCCUGGCCCCUGCCCGAUGGUCAUGCACAGCUCCCAGCCUCCCUCCGGCCCUGGAGAGGGUCCCGCACCUCCGCAGGAGCAGGAAGACCUGGCAGAGGGAGGCGAGGCCUCACAGGUUCCGGUCCCAAAGUCUGUAUUAUACUUCACAAAAGAAGCGAGUGAUUAUCAGUAUGAAGAGUCUGAUGAGAGGUCCAAGAAGCUGAAGGUGAGGAGGAGGACAGCGAUAAAAAACCAGAAGAAGGACCUGGAAAGGACCUGGACCCAGCAGAGGACAGCCCGGGAGAACCCAGCUGUCAAGCAUAGAAAGACAUGAUGGAGGAAGAAACAAUGGACGUGUCCCUCACGAAUUUGAGAUUUUCGGCUUCUCAGUAGCCAGUGGGAAUUUUAUCAACACUGGUUUUGUUCCAGAUUUCAUCAUGUGAAAUGUCUUAUCCACUGACAUCUGACUUUUUUUCUUACGUUUGUCAGAUAUAUUUGACUGCGUUUGUUCAUGAUAAAAAUAAAAAUUUGCUAGCCAUGGAU